RNAcentral lists this ribosomal RNA (432 nucleotides) under uncultured bacterium. Its description in RNAcentral is "bacterial SSU rRNA". It matches the Rfam family "Bacterial small subunit ribosomal RNA", at positions 917 to 1350 of the family's 1533-position model. The record is from RNAcentral.
GGGCCCGCACAAGCGGUGGAGUAUGUGGUUUAAUUCGAUGCAACGCGAAGAACCUUACCAGGGUUUGACAUCCUGCGAAUCUCUUGGAAACGAGAGAGUGCCUUCGGGAGCUAGGUGACAGGUGCUGCAUGGCUGUCGUCAGCUCGUGUCGUGAGAUGUAGGGUUAAGUCCCAUAACGAGCGCAACCCUUAUCCUUAGUUACCAGCGCGUCAUGGCGGGGACUCUAAGGAAACUGCCGGUAAAAACCGGAGGAAGGCGAGGACGAUGUCAAGUCAUCAUGGCCCUUACGGGUAGGGCUGCACACGUGCUACAAUGGACAGUACAACGGGUUGCCAAGCCGCGAGGUGGAGCUAAUCUCUUAAAGCUGUUCUCAGUCCGGAUUGGAGUCUGCAACUCGACUCCAUGAAGUCGGAAUCGCUAGAAUCGCGGAUC